This 408-nucleotide ribosomal RNA is filed under the name uncultured bacterium. RNAcentral's name for it is "partial 16S ribosomal RNA". It matches the Rfam family "Bacterial small subunit ribosomal RNA", at positions 28 to 526 of the family's 1533-position model. The record is from RNAcentral.
GACGAACGCUGGCGGCGUGCUUAACACAUGCAAGUCGAACGAAGUGGCGAACGGGUGAGUAACGCGUAAUCAACCUGCCCUUCCGAGGGGGACAACAGUGGGAAACGACUGCUAAUACCGCAUACUGAAGGAGGGGAUGACGUUGGAUUAGCUGGUUGGAGGGGUAACGGCACAACAAGGCGAUGAUCAGUAGCCGGUCUGGGAUGAUGAACGGCGCCAUUGGGACUGAGACACGGCCCAGACUCCGACGGGAGGCAGCAGUGGGGAAUCGUCCGAAAUGGACGAAAGUCUGACGGAGCAACGCCGCGUGAGUGAUGACGGCCUUCGGGUUGUAAAGCUCUGUUAAUCGGGACGCGGUACCGGAAUAGAAAGCCACGGCUAACUACGUGCCAGCAGCCGCGGUAAUUC